UACGUAGGGACCAAGCGUUGUUCGGAUUUACUGGGCGUAAAGGGCGCGUAGGCGGCAAUUCAAGUCAUCUGUGAAAUCUCCGGGCUUAACUCGGAACGGUCAGAUGAUACUGCUUUGCUAGAGUGCGGAAGGGGCAAUCGGAAUUCUUGGUGUAGCGGUGAAAUGCGUAGAUAUCAAGAGGAACACCUGAGGUGAAGACGGGUUGCUGGGGCGACACUGACGCUGAGUGCGCGAAAGCCAGGGGAGCAAACGGG
RNAcentral lists this ribosomal RNA (254 nucleotides) under uncultured bacterium. Its description in RNAcentral is "partial 16S ribosomal RNA". It matches the Rfam family "Bacterial small subunit ribosomal RNA", at positions 524 to 776 of the family's 1533-position model. The record is from RNAcentral.